This is a long non-coding RNA of Daphnia pulicaria, 198 nucleotides long. RefSeq lists it as uncharacterized. NCBI's taxonomy places the organism in Eukaryota, Metazoa, Arthropoda, Branchiopoda, Diplostraca, Daphniidae. The record is from RefSeq and is a predicted model, not a curated record. The transcript is spliced from 3 exons.
GUUUAUAAUGAUCAUAAAAGGACAGCUAACAAGGUGACUUUUCGUGGCUCAGAACAGAACAUGUUACUUUCAGGAAGUCAGGAUGGGACUAUGAAGUAUUUUGAUAUCAGAAUGAAAGUUGCAGUCAUGACAUUCGCCAGCAACGCAGAGAGUGUACGAGAUGUGCAGUUUAAUCCAUACCAGUGUUUUAGUUUCGCC